This 1300-nucleotide unclassified non-coding RNA is filed under the name Bombus terrestris (buff-tailed bumblebee). Its description in RNAcentral is "misc RNA ENSBTSG00005034248.1". Lineage: Eukaryota; Metazoa; Arthropoda; Insecta; Hymenoptera; Apidae. The record is from RNAcentral.
UUUUUGUACGCAACUGUAGUUUAAUUAUAGUCUUCGCCGUCGGACCUACAUCCUUAGCUAGUUUAUUCGUUACUAAAAAAUCAUCAAUAUUGCGAAUUUUUUGGCUUAGUUGCUUUUCUAAUUGCUUGCGUACAUAUGAAUAUUUACUUUGUACACAUUUUGCUCUCUUUUCCAAUCGCUUUAUCUUUAUCUGUAAAAGAUUUAUUUUUUUUGUUAAGGAAUCAACCAAUAUUUUACAUUCUUUGGAGCAUCGAAAAUCUUUUUUUGAUACAAGUGAAACAACUGUCACAUUUUCGCAAGAUUUUUAUCACAGAUUUCUCUUGGACUUGGUACUUGUUCUUGAAGCUUCUGCACUUCUACUGUUACUUGUGUGGAAUUCCCUGAUUCUUGCGGUUCAACAAUCGCCUGUGUCUGCCCAUGGGGCGUCGAUAUUUCCUUCCAAUGGAUUGGAUCACGAUUCCGAAGCAAACGCUUUUUCGUUCCGUCGCAAAAAUCUUCCUCUCGGAAAUGAAGAUCGCAAAGUCCUGCAGUCCUGAUCGUGGAGGUCGAUAAGAAUCGAAGCCAACUAUUUCCUGCGUGAAUUUUAGUAGUGUUGAAUUCUGGAUGCAUAAUUUUCGCGAAAAGCUAUAAAUUUAUUUUACGAACAUCUUAAUAUAAUAGACAGUCAUAUAAUUUAAUAUAUGUGACAGUUAAAUAGCAAAGCGCGACAGUUUUUUCUAUUACGGCAUUGCACGCAAUAUGACCAUCCUUUAAGCAACUUUUAUUCGCAGUAAAUUGUUAACUUAAUUUUAGGACACGGAAACUAAAACUCUGACUUAAAUCUUUAACUAAAAUUCCUCUCAGUCCUUAGAACAAAUUAUUAUUAUUUAUAUUUAUGAUUAAACAGUGAGUAAUUUCUUAAUGCCGUGUAAAAUUAUUAUUUAAACAAAGUGGAAAAGGGGUAUAUAAGGAUAAUGGUUACUGCAGAGAGAGAGAGAGAGAGAGAGAGAGAUUGGAGAGGAUAAGAGUAUCCAGAUACAAUGAAGAAUACAGGAGGAGACUGGUACAGACAAAUUGCCAGAAUAUCUGAAGGACUUGAGAAAGAAGAAGGAAACAUUCUUAGUUACAAGAUUUAUACAUAUUGGGUUUAAGUUUGGAUCGGAUUUCUCAAUCCGACUGCCGCGAACAGCGCUUGUGUAGAAUACAUGUAAAAAUGAUUAUCGUAAAAUAAUAUCAAUUAUUCAUCCGCCUAUUAUUUUCAUAAUUAAUUUGUUAUUAUCUCAAGCGCGUGUUGCGGAUCAUCGCAAGGCGUCCGGAUUGA